UAACCAAUUCACUACUACACUUGUAAAGCUUAUUUUUUAAAUUAAAAAUUCUGUCGUAAGAAUAGGAACAUUCAUCACACAUUUUUUUUCAAUGCGUAAGAAAGAGACGCAUAUAAAGCUAUAUGAUUUUUCUUCAACAAUGGCUGGCAUUAUUUGGAAAAAAAAUUUUGAGCAUCAAAAGGCGUUUGAAAAAAGCUUUCGACAACAGUGAUAACCAAAAAUUACUUCGCAACGCAUUUGAACGUUUAAAAGGAUAGCAUUAACUCUUUUGACUUAUUAAAAUUAUUAAUAUAUAAAAAACUAUUAAUAUAACUCAUUCACCGGUCCAGCUUAUGUGAGUCACGUGAACGUCGAAGUUAAACGUAUAUCCUACGGUUUCCGUUAGCGCACAUUACCGCAUUUCAUUAAAAUCGAUUACUGUCCUGAAUCUCGUGACUUCGUAAAGAAUUUAAAUCUUGCUGGCUUAACACCUUAGAAGUUCUCCUUUCACGAUAUGCGUGGUCGUCAAUACUGCUGUAAAACUGCUGAAACCGGUUAUAUAAUAUUUAACGUCGUCUCGUAAAGGCUAUGAGUUGGUCACGGUCAAGUACAACGGGAGAGUGCGUCAGUUGUUUCGUUACGUUACGGCGAGGAUGGUUUAGGUGGUGGAACCGUGGAGUUUAAAAUUUACAAACUGUCAAAUUAUCACAUAAAGCAUUUAAGAAGAGGUUUAAAUUGGUAGGAAACAAUCAUCUUUCGAAACAGGCCAAUAAGAACGUCAUACUUCUGUUUCAGUAUUUGAUGUGCUUCACGCCGGGCACGAAGUAUGCAGCGGAGGAGUCCUGAAUACAAGUAUCAAGACAACACAAUCAUUUUGAUUGGUUACAUGAACGUUUGGUGGAGAAUUUUUUCCUCAUUCCCAUGCCACCCUUGCCAUAUUUCUGGAUGUUACAAAGAACAACUUGUGGAGCAUAGACGGGUUCAAUUACAAGAAUAUGUAGAUUGUGUCAUCCGGUACUCCCACAAUGUGAAGUGUGGCAUCAUUUCUUGACUUAUAUCGAUGACAAGAUACGGAAAUCAGGCAAAAGGAAAGCCGAACUUGACACAUAUAUAUGAAAGACUCUUAUUGUUGCGCCACAUCACCGCCUGAAAACACAAUUCGGUACGAAAUCUCUUAGCAAUAUCCAAUUACACGGAGAAACGUUAUGUCGGAUUUGGCAAAGGCCUUAAAUAUAGACGAGCGUCUUGCACCCUCAAAAGCAACAAAGCUUUCGGAAAGUGUUGGGCGCUUCGGUGGUAUUUUCAUUAGUAUUGGCCAACUAUUUGUUUGGAUAUCUACAGAGGCAUCCUCAACAGUUUUCCUGACAUUCUCUCAACACCCAAAGGUGCAAUUCAAAAACGCAAAGAACACGAACGUUUAACCUCUGAGCAAAAGAUGAGCAAUGCAUAAAUAGUUGUUCCCCUCGAAAUCUACAAUACUUACUUUUCGCUGGUUAAAAUUAAGAGACCUUUAUUUAUAAGAGAAAAAAUUAACAAUAACGGAAUGAACAAAAUUAUCCGUGUUACUAUAUAAAGUGCUCUGAAAACUGACGAGUUAUAAAAAGAUAAAUAGGUAUUUUAUACAUUUACUAACGUAAUAUGAGAGCCAGAAAUUUAUACUUAAAAUACGCUUGGGUUGAGUACUUCAAAUCUCAAUAAUCUACUUGUUUUUGUUUAAAAAUAGUAUUAUAUUUUGUUGACGUGUUUAGCCUUUAUUAUUGGUUUUCUAUCUGAUAUUAGCUAUCCAGCCUGGCUAAACAUUCUCUAAAAUUAAUUAACGUGAUAUUCGUUUAUAUGCACUGUAAGCAGACUAAUGCCUCUGCCGAUUGUCAAAAUGUUCCUCAUGACGGAGGGUUAC
This is a non-coding RNA of Bactrocera oleae (olive fruit fly), 1876 nucleotides long. The record is from RefSeq and is a predicted model, not a curated record. NCBI's taxonomy places the organism in Eukaryota, Metazoa, Arthropoda, Insecta, Diptera, Tephritidae.